This 106-nucleotide transfer RNA is filed under the name Neurospora tetrasperma FGSC 2509. It matches the Rfam family "tRNA". Rfam says of the family: Transfer RNA (tRNA) molecules are approximately 80 nucleotides in length. Their secondary structure includes four short double-helical elements and three loops (D, anti-codon, and T loops). Further hydrogen bonds mediate the characteristic L-shaped molecular structure. tRNAs have two regions of fundamental functional importance: the anti-codon, which is responsible for specific mRNA codon recognition, and the 3' end, to which the tRNAs corresponding amino acid is attached (by aminoacyl-tRNA synthetases). tRNAs cope with the degeneracy of the genetic code in two manners: having more than one tRNA (with a specific anti-codon) for a particular amino acid; and 'wobble' base-pairing, i.e. permitting non-standard base-pairing at the 3rd anti-codon position. Lineage: Eukaryota; Fungi; Ascomycota; Sordariomycetes; Sordariales; Sordariaceae. The record is from Rfam by way of RNAcentral.
GGGCGGAUAGUUCAGUGGCAAAAUAUCUGUUUUGCAACAAUGCACUUGAUUAUCAAGUGCUGCUGCUUCUUACAGAAGGUCCCGUGUUCAAUCCACGGUUCGUCCA